GGGGCAGCGCCGUGAGCUGUCACUUCGUUCAGCGGUUCGGAUGGAUCGGGGUCCGGCGGAAUACCAGCCAUUUUCUGGACGGAGCCCGCGAUGCUGCGCAGCGGCGUACUGAAAUCGGGCAGGUCGACCAGCGCAAGAAGCAGGGCGAUCACCCAGAACAGGUGAUUGUGGGUGAACAGCGCAAGCAGGCAGAGCACGGCCACGAUCUCGAACUGCAGCUUCUGCGAUUUGUGCGCCAUCCGCUCGGGGAGCGAAUGUAUUUUCAGG
Molecule: unclassified non-coding RNA, 267 nt
Filed under: Hevea brasiliensis (rubber tree)
Lineage: Eukaryota; Viridiplantae; Streptophyta; Magnoliopsida; Malpighiales; Euphorbiaceae
Source: RNAcentral